Molecule: transfer RNA, 83 nt
Filed under: Canis lupus familiaris (dog)
Lineage: Eukaryota; Metazoa; Chordata; Mammalia; Carnivora; Canidae
Also listed under: 1 other name
Rfam family: tRNA
About the family: Transfer RNA (tRNA) molecules are approximately 80 nucleotides in length. Their secondary structure includes four short double-helical elements and three loops (D, anti-codon, and T loops). Further hydrogen bonds mediate the characteristic L-shaped molecular structure. tRNAs have two regions of fundamental functional importance: the anti-codon, which is responsible for specific mRNA codon recognition, and the 3' end, to which the tRNAs corresponding amino acid is attached (by aminoacyl-tRNA synthetases). tRNAs cope with the degeneracy of the genetic code in two manners: having more than one tRNA (with a specific anti-codon) for a particular amino acid; and 'wobble' base-pairing, i.e. permitting non-standard base-pairing at the 3rd anti-codon position.
Source: Rfam by way of RNAcentral
ACCUGGGUGGCUCAGCGGUUGAGCAUCUGCCUUUGGCUCAGGUUGUGAUCCCAGGGUCCUGGGAUCAAGUCCCACCUCAGGCU